Long non-coding RNA from Marmota monax (woodchuck), 400 nucleotides. RefSeq lists it as uncharacterized. NCBI's taxonomy places the organism in Eukaryota, Metazoa, Chordata, Mammalia, Rodentia, Sciuridae. The record is from RefSeq and is a predicted model, not a curated record. The transcript is spliced from 3 exons.
CAAAAAUAUUAGGAUAGCAUGUUCCAUGUGCUACUUUGGUAUACUUAUACUCAAACAUUAUUUGUUACUUAUUUGAGAUUCUACUUUAACUGAACAUCUCUAUUGCAUCUGGCAAACUUAGAUACUUUGGAAUAAUCUAGACAGCCAAACAGGCUCAUCUCCAAGAAAGAAUGUAUCAUCAUAAUGAGAUUUCUGAACACACUACUUUGAAGAUUCCUCCAAAAGAGGAGUGUCUACCCUGCCCAGACAACCAUGUGGAAUUCAUGAAAUGAUUUUCUGUCUAGGCAUAUGAAUAAAGCUUGAGGAAAUAAAGCUUGAGUUUGGUGCAGUAAACAGAACGUGGGCAAUGUUUGGGGCCUGAUAGACUAGGGUUGAAAAUCCCAUUUUGUGACUCACUAAC